AACAAGUAGUGCGGGUAUUUGACUUCAAAUCUCUUUGCCCUCUAUAAAACUUGAGGCCCCUGCAAUGGGGGCCAGAAUUCACUCGACGUUUGGCCCGUGUGUCGUAAGAGGCGACUAAAGGGCUCCCAAUCUUAAGGUGUAAGCUACCGUUCCGAGAAGAUGAAUGGUGGAGGGACAGAAGUCUUGAACGGUGCCUGUCCAGAGCUUGGUCAACUCUUGGUGGAUGGAGGAAACUUCCGGGACCUUGUGUGGGUACAGGCUGGCCAUGCCCACAUCGACAUUUUCUACCUGCCAGUAUCAAACCUCACAUGGAUGAUAAAUUACUUAACAAUUCAAAAAAUCAAAAAAGUUAUCGGGCCCUCUAACUAAGAGAGCCUGCACCGAUGCCAAAGCAGGGAGUAAUAACGUAGCACCAUCUGGUGACAAACAUCCUACUUGCUUUGUAAUUGCUCACUCUGAAUCUGAUGUGCCGCUGGGGAAACUGUC
RNAcentral lists this long non-coding RNA (486 nucleotides) under Androctonus crassicauda. Lineage: Eukaryota; Metazoa; Arthropoda; Arachnida; Scorpiones; Buthidae. The record is from RNAcentral.